UUUGAUCCUGGCUCAGGACGAACGCUGGCGGCGUGCUUAACACAUGCAAGUCGAACGAUGAAGCCUAGCUUGCUAGGUGGAUUAGUGGCGAACGGGUGAGUAAUACGUGAGUAACCUACCUUUAACUCUGGGAUAAGCCUGGGAAACUGGGUCUAAUACCGGAUACGACCAAUCUCCGCAUGGGGUGUUGGUGGAAAGCGUUAUGUAGUGGUUAUAGAUGGGCUCACGGCCUAUCAGCUUGUUGGUGAGGUAACGGCUCACCAAGGCGACGACGGGUAGCCGGCCUGAGAGGGUGACCGGCCACACUGGGACUGAGACACGGCCCAGACUCCUACGGGAGGCAGCAGUGGGGAAUAUUGCACAAUGGGCGCAAGCCUGAUGCAGCGACGCCGCGUGAGGGAUGACGGCCUUCGGGUUGUAAACCUCUGUUAGCAGGGAAGAAGAGAGAUUGACGGUACCUGCAGAGAAAGCGCCGGCUAACUACGUGCCAGCAGCCGCGGUAAUACGUAGGGCGCGAGCGUUGUCCGGAAUUAUUGGGCGUAAAGAGCUUGUAGGCGGUUUGUCGCGUCUGCUGUGAAAGGCCGGAGCUUAACUCCGUGUAUUGCAGUGGGUACGGGCAGACUAGAGUGCAGUAGGGGAGACUGGAAUUCCUGGUGUAGCGGUGGAAUGCGCAGAUAUCAGGAGGAGCACCGAUGGCGAAGGCAGGUCUCUGGGCUGUAACUGACGCUGAGAAGCGAAAGCAUGGGGAGCGAACAGGAUUAGAUACCCUGGUAGUCCAUGCCGUAAACGUUGGGCACUAGGUGUGGGGGACAUUCCACGUUUUCCGCGCCCGUAGCUAACGCAUUAAGUGCCCCGCCUGGGGAGUACGGCCGCAAGGCUAAAAACUCAAAGAAAUUGACGGGGGCCCGCACAAGCGGCGGAGCAUGCGGAUUAAUUCGAUGCAAACGCGAAGAACCUUACCAAGGCUUGACAUAUACUGGACCGCAUCAGAGAUGGUGUUUCCCUUCGGGGCUGGUAUACAGGUGGUGCAUGGUUGUCGUCAGCUCGUGUCGUGAGAUGUUGGGUUAAGUCCCGCAACGAGCGCAACCCUCGUUCUAUGUUGCCAGCACGUUAUGGUGGGGACUCAUAGGAGACUGCCGGGGUCAACUCGGAGGAAGGUGGGGAUGACGUCAAAUCAUCAUGCCCCUUAUGUCUUGGGCUUCACGCAUGCUACAAUGGCCGGUACAGAGGGUUGCGAUACUGUGAGGUGGAGCUAAUCCCUAAAAGCCGGUCUCAGUUCGGAUUGGGGUCUGCAAACUCGACCCCAUGAAAGUCGGAGUCGCUAGUAAUCGCAGAAUCAGGCAAACGCUGCGGUGAAAUACGUUCCCGGGGCCCUUGGCCGCCCCCC
RNAcentral lists this ribosomal RNA (1387 nucleotides) under uncultured bacterium. RNAcentral describes it as "bacterial SSU rRNA". It matches the Rfam family "Bacterial small subunit ribosomal RNA". The record is from RNAcentral.